Long non-coding RNA from Gallus gallus (chicken), 2936 nucleotides. Lineage: Eukaryota; Metazoa; Chordata; Aves; Galliformes; Phasianidae. The record is from Ensembl.
GCCGUGAGGCGCGCGGUCAGCCGGCUUCGGGUGCCCGGCCCUAUGGCAGCCACGGAAAGCUCCCGCGUGGUUCUCAGAAACAGUUUCCCUCUGCGCUGGGAGCAGUUUGAUGAAGAUUUUUAAGUGAAAAAAAAAGAAAAAAAGAAGAAGCGUAUUUUGAGUGGCUUACCAAGGCUGAAGGCGUCCAGGUUCCCAAAGGGUUCCAGGUGUCGGUACCUGAGAACGGCUGGUUUAAUGCUGCGCCGUGUCGAGCUAAAAGCAGUGGGAGGAUGUUGAGACGCCUAUCGCAUGUAAUCAGAAGUAAUUACACUCUACAGAUACCAGCCACAACGAUUCUUGCUGUACAGAGAUGCGUUACAUCUUUUUGUGCUGAGAGAAUUUUAGUGUGGUAGGGAAAAUAUUCCAUCACAGAACUGCAGCCACGACAAAAUGAAGGCAGAAUGUGUGUUUUUACACACAGAAUAUGCAGAACAGCAGGUAUGCAGGGACUGUGUGUUGGUUUACCUACGCAAUACUUCUGUUCCUUUGUCUACAUCCAACUGAGGUGACGUUUUUUCUCUUGCUUUAAACUUUUCCUAAGCAUUAUGUGGCCAACAGGGUGAAUUUGCACGAAUCCGUAUUCCAAAACUUGGAUCCUACUGAAAUUGAAAUCUGUGAAGUGUUCCAAUUGCUGCAGAGUAAGUGGGCUCUGACUCCUAAUACAACUGCUUAGAUAGAGCUCUCACUGCUGAGCCAGCAACGCAGGCUGUCCAUACAAGGUGCUCAUUACCUCAUGCUUUUGGUGUCAGCCAAGCUUCUGCCUCUAAUUUUUCCAAACAUCUAAAAUUUGUACUGAUGAAACACAGGAAAAGAAAGAAAGAAAGAAAGGAAAAAAAAAAAAACCAGCAACAACCAACCAAGAGGUUCACAGAGAUAAAUGACUCUGCUGCAGCUUUGAAGGGCUGUUUUUGUCUGUUUUGUCUUCAUCUUGAACUAUUUAGGGAGGUGCUUUCUUGUGUCUUUUGUCACUUGAAAAUCCCAUUUAGCCUCAGUGGAAUCACAUACAUGGAUCACAGAUCUGAUGUGAACUCUUUGCACAGAGUGGAGGAUUUCUUCCAGCUCAGAGGGAAUCUGUUUCAAAAUCAGUUUUUCGGUACAACAGGACAUAAGCAACUUCCAUUAAAGGACAGACAGCCUUCACUGAAGCUACUUAGAGGAAGCUGCUCUGCAAGAAAAAGAAGAUCCUGUGAGCACUCAAGGUCAACGCUCAAUGAGGCACAACUGGAGACAGAAGGCAGUUCCAUGAAGCACAGCUCCUGCUUUUUCCCUGCUGUUCUUGGUCCAGCAACUGAUGACAACGAAUCAGCUUCUAGCUCCUUGACUGCAGACGUGCGAUCCUCCUUACCCUGCUGGCAGGAGACUUUUGCAACCCCCUGAUGCUUUUGGGAGUUUCAAGGUCCUGUCAGCUGGAGCAGUGAAUGCCCGCAUCCCCUGGAAACUGCAGUAGUAUCCUGCUGCCUUAUAAAGGUUGAUAAUUGGAGAUGUAACAUCAUACACUGCAAAGAAUUAAGCAUGAAUGAUUCUAGAUCAUGAAAAAAAUCUGGGCAAGCUUGAAAAGCUCUUCCCCAGGGACAACAUUCCAGCUGGGGCUGAUGGUGCUGUGUGUGUGCACAUAAUGCCAUCCAUCAUGAGCUGCCUGUUUUCCCAACAGUGUGAGUGGGACUCUGGUACAACCCAGAGAGGACGUAGAGGAUGUGGUGAAAGAAACCCCUGACCUUGCUCCCUUCUAUGAAUUUUGAGUCUAGAUAAGACAAUCAUCUUGUUAUACUACUUCUUAGGAGUCUAAUCAUAUUACAGGACAUUGUAUUUCACCUGUUAGCUUCAAGACACCUUGUGAAUGGCUGAACGUGUCAGGAAAAGCUCUCUUGUGCUUCAGAUGUGAAUCAUUGACUGGAUUGUAAAAGGCAAAGGCAAUCAAUCAACUCCAAUCUGAGAGUUGUUGUUCAUGUGGGUAACGUAUCUUGAAGCUUUAAUCAUCUGCGUACCCUUUCGGAAGUAAUUUCUACAAAUAAAUUCCAAAUGUCAGAUAUAUUUCAUCAUUUAGCUUCAGCAUAUGGAAGUAAAAGUUGAAAGAAGCAAUUCACGGUCAUUUCUUACUGGGAAGAAAAUGAAGGGAAAAAUCCUUGCAGAAGAAAGAGAAGAAAAAGGAAGCCGCAGGAAAGUAUUGCGAGCUGAUUUGUGGACACUCCCCCAAAAGGUCAUGGGAGGUAAUGGAAGGAAUGAAACUGGUGAUGGAAAUCAGCAACACAGACAAACAUCCAAAAAAAUACAAUCUUCAAGGGAGCAGCAGGCAAUCAGGCAGGGGUUCUGUGAGAAUCCACAAACCUCAUGUCAGUGCUAAAAUAGGACAGCCAUCAGCUCUGCUCCACAUCACGCCCACGUGCAAAAGAGCCCAGCACCCAGAGCUCCAUCACAACCAGCUGCAGUUUGAGCACACACAGCCUCAGGCUUUGGCAAAAGCGCGUGAAGACCAGGUUUAUUUGGGCAGGGCUGGAUGAUGCUGGCAGAGAAGCAUCCACCCUUCGGUGUGAAAGUGGAAGGAGCUGAACUUUGAACUCUGAGAUAAGCAAAUCUGAACAUGAAAUAAGACAGUGGCAUGUUGGACUUAAGCUGGCCUUUAUAUAAAAACAGUGCACAGAAUGCCUUCUGUUCUUGAUUUUAUGUUCCACAAGUAGACUCUAAGACUCUGCUUUUCCUCCCCACCACUGGAGCUGUAUUAAGGCCCAGCAAUUCGGCAAUCCUGGCUCUUCUGAUCCUGGUAAUUUUAAAUGGUGUUGUGACCCUAAGAACAAAAGCAGUUUCCCUCUCCACUGUAUUUUGGUUGUUCUGGGACACGUUCUGUCCUGUAAUCAAUAGAGUUUAAAAAUAAAUUUACGUUGUGCUUUUCAAACAUAAAA